RNAcentral lists this ribosomal RNA (433 nucleotides) under uncultured bacterium. RNAcentral's name for it is "partial 16S ribosomal RNA". It matches the Rfam family "Bacterial small subunit ribosomal RNA", at positions 29 to 507 of the family's 1533-position model. The record is from RNAcentral.
AGCGAACGCUGGCGGCAGGCCUAACACAUGCAAGUCGAACGAACUCUUCGGAGUUAGUGGCGGACGGGUGAGUAACGCGUGGAAACGUGCCUUUAGGUUCGGAAUAACUCAGGGAAACUUGUGCUAAUACCGAAUGUGCCCUUCGGGGGAAAGAUUUAUCGCCUUUAGAGCGGCCCGCGUCUGAUUAGCUAGUUGGUGAGGUAAAGGCUCACCAAGGCGACGAUCAGUAGCUGGUCUGAGAGGAUGAUCAGCCACAUUGGGACUGAGACACGGCCCAAACUCCUACGGGAGGCAGCAGUGGGGAAUCUUGCGCAAUGGGCGAAAGCCUGACGCAGCCAUGCCGCGUGAAUGAUGAAGGUCUUAGGAUUGUAAAAUUCUUUCACCGGGGACGAUAAUGACGGUACCCGGAGAAGAAGCCCCGGCUAACUUCGUG